This 301-nucleotide ribosomal RNA is filed under the name uncultured bacterium. Its description in RNAcentral is "partial 16S ribosomal RNA". It matches the Rfam family "Bacterial small subunit ribosomal RNA", at positions 509 to 809 of the family's 1533-position model. The record is from RNAcentral.
CAGCCGCCGCGGGAAUACGAAGGGGGCUAGCGUUGCUCGGAAUGACUGGGCGUAGAGGGCGCGUAGGCGGCGAUCAAAGUCAGGCGUGAAAUUCCUGGGCUUAACCUGGGGACUGCGCUUAAUACAGGCAGUCUAGAGUGAGGAAGAGGGUUGUGGAAUUCCCAGUGUAGAGGUGAAAUUCGUAGAUAUUGGGAAGAACACCGGUGGCGAAGGCGGCAACCUGGUCCUUGACUGACGCUGAGGCGCGAAAGCGUGGGGAGCGAACAGGAUUAGAUACCCGCGUAGUCCCUGUCUCUUAUAU